ACGCAACGCGAAGAACCUUACCAAGGUUUGACAUCACCCGUGGACUCGCAGAGAUGUGAGGUCAUUUAGUUGGCGGGUGACAGGUGGUGCAUGGCUGUCGUCAGCUCGUGUCGUGAGAUGUUGGGUUAAGUCCCGCAACGAGCGCAACCCUUGUUCCAUGUUGCUAGCACGUAAUGGUGGGGACUCAUGGGAGACUGCCGGGGUCAACUCGGAGGA
RNAcentral lists this ribosomal RNA (216 nucleotides) under uncultured Nocardiopsis sp. RNAcentral describes it as "partial 16S ribosomal RNA". It matches the Rfam family "Bacterial small subunit ribosomal RNA", at positions 954 to 1170 of the family's 1533-position model. The record is from RNAcentral. Lineage: Bacteria; Bacillati; Actinomycetota; Actinomycetes; Streptosporangiales; Nocardiopsidaceae.